GGUUCGGUGGUGUAGUUGGUUAUCACGUCAGUCUAACAUCAGUUCAAUCUAAUCAAAUUGGACUGUUGCGAGAUCACUGAAGGUCCCCGGUUCAAACCCGGGCCGAAUCA
Molecule: non-coding RNA, 110 nt
Organism: Glonium stellatum
Lineage: Eukaryota; Fungi; Ascomycota; Dothideomycetes; Gloniales; Gloniaceae
Source: the annotation of a GenBank genome assembly